Artibeus jamaicensis (Jamaican fruit-eating bat) is the source of this 3176-nucleotide long non-coding RNA. RefSeq lists it as uncharacterized. The record is from RefSeq and is a predicted model, not a curated record. Lineage: Eukaryota; Metazoa; Chordata; Mammalia; Chiroptera; Phyllostomidae. The transcript has 3 exons.
UGGUAUUAUGUGCAAAUCUGUGCAAACCACUGAAGUCCUGGAAUACUAAGGGACUUUCUCGGUAUAUUUUACACACUCAUCUGCACACGUUUGUGAAGACAGUAAAUAUCAACCAGGGUGCUGUGAGGAUUAGCUCCAGUCAGCAGCAAGCCCCAGUGAAAGGAGGCACAUCUGCAGGCCCCUGCUGACCUGUGUGGGGACGAUUGGGAGGGAACCAGCAGAGCCACAGGUCGGAUGGACCCUCAUCCUCCGUUUUUAUCCAGAAGUAGUCUUCAAGUUUAUGAACAUGUCAGAGUGGGCUGCAAGGCCAAUAGCUGUGAAUAUUCCAGUUCUGCAUGUCUCGUGGCAGCCUUGGGCGUGGUUUCCAGACGACACUGACGGUGGACAUUUGUGCCUUCUCAUCCCUCUCUCCCUGCUCCUCCCCUGAGAAGAGGAUCGCGUUUUAAGGAAAUGAACACAUUCAGUCCCCUAUGCCCCAAAUUUAAAACAAAGAAGAAAUUUUGCUGAAAACCAACUCAAGCAAACUCAAUCGGAAACAUAUUUCCUCCCCCUUACCCCUCAAUUUGAUGCCGUCUGUCCUUAUUCAUCUCUGUCUUGCUUACCCAGUCUUGCCAGUGAGCAUCUAAGUGACAGCAUUAGCCAGCGUGGGUUCUGCUUCUCCUUUCCUCAUGCUACCCCUGUAGAAUAUCUAAAUAAUUGGGCAUAGUAAGGAUGCAGAAUGAAAAAAUUAAACAAGCAAUGGCUCUGAAAAUUUCUUGGCAUAGAGGAAGAACUGAUCACAAUUAUAAUGAGCUAUGUGUGUGGUAACAACAUCUGGUAUAGGAUACAUCCUAUAGGCCUUGUCAAAUUCUUCCGCCCUCACCCAUGCCCUGGACCCUUACCUCCUAGACUCACAGCUUAGGGAGGAAGCUCCAUGCAGGGCCUCAUGGCUCCCCUGUGUGGUCAGCUCUUCCCCCACUUCUGACGCCAUAAAAUGCCAUGCCACUAAAGAUCUGCGUCUCCAACAGAGGCCAGGUAACCCAACCCAGAAAUACAGGGGGUGAGCUUCCCAUGGGGUUCAUUUCAGUGAGUGGGGAAGAGGAGAGGCAGCAGGGAGGCAGCAGCAGGACUGUGUUCCUCCCUCCGAUGUGUCAUCUGAAGUUGGUCUUUCCCACAGCGUGUCCAGAGGUACCCCGCACCUCUCAAGCCACUGCUCGUGUCACUUCCUGGCUUACUAUGACACAGCAGCUGAUGCUCUAAUGCAUGGCCUCGCGUCCUUUCGCUACCUUUCGCUUCCUGUGUUGUGCUUCCCAAUGAAGCAUGAGCACUGGCCCUUGGCGCAUACCUCCACAGUUCUGCCUCUUUAUCCAUGAAUGAUUUGGUGUUGGUCAAAGGAUGAGAUCGCUUCUUCUUUAUUUUUUCCUUCAAAAAUCCCCGAGAUGAAAUGUUUGAGAACAAAGAAGAUGACAGCAGCUCUUUAAUUCUGUUUUUAAAUUUCUGUCUUAAAUUUGCUAGCUUAACUUUCUAAUUAACUUUGACCCUCUGCCUUUGGGUUUUCUUUUUUCUCUACUUGAAAAAAUCUGACUCAUCCUUCCCAGCCCAGGUAAGUGUGUUCUAAGUGAAGCCUUCCAUGCACACCUGCCAUUCCCGGCUGUGCCAUCUCUAGCCAGACGUGGCAGAGCCUGCAUCUGUGCUUCCUGCAGCACCGGCAUCGUGUUCUUGUUAGGUGGGUACUGUGAGUCUCCCCUUCCUCCACCAAGUCUUACUUGGACUGGCCCAUAGAAUGUGUUUAAGAAUGUUUGCUGAAUGCAGGGGGAUCCUUUUUGCAUCCAUCAUUGCUGCAUCUCCCUCAGUCCAGACAGGCCCACCUUACCCUGGGACAGGACAGAGGCCUCUUAGCCACCCUGCUGUGGUCUCCUUCUGAUAAUGCAAUCUGCAUAGACCACCAGGCUGCUCUUUUUUAGGAUGGCAUCCUUUCACCCCGAGAUCUCUGGCACCAAUAGAAAAGAAGUAGUAGAACAUAGAAAUAAUACAAAUGCAUGAAACCCAGAGAGACAGUAAUAGCACUAAAUAAAGGUUAGAUACAUCACAUCUGGUGUAAAUGUCUUUGGUAGUCAAGGUCUGGCUCCUUGACUGAGAGCAGGCAUGGCUCCUCUCUCCUGCCUGAGCCUGCUCAACUGUCCCCUGCUCUGGAGUAACUCAGGUCGCCCCUGCACCUAUUCAAAUCCUGUCCAUCAUUCAAUUUCCUGCCAUCAGAGAUGCUGGUGGAGUAGUAUGAGCAGACAGAUUUAUCCUUAUCUCGACUUUUGUGAGCAUGAGUGAUGUGCCAUUUGGUUUCUUGGGCUUGAGAUUGGAAUGUCUUAGGUUCUUUCUACCUCUUUCCGCAACAACACUGCAAGUUUUCUAAGAGCAGAAACCAUGUUUAAUGCUUCUUCAGUAAUCAUCCUGAUUCCUGGGCCAGCGAAGACUCAACAAAUAUUGGCUGAUUGAUCCAUUGCUACAGAAAUGAGCCUGACCAAACCUGGCAGAAGAGGUUAAUGAAAAUCUAUAGCCUAUUAAAGGGUACCAUUAAAUUUUAAAUUAAAAAAAUAAGUAAUUUUCUGUUAUUUUUUUCUUAUGUCAGCAUAGAGGAGGAAAAUACAACAUGCAUUUUUCUAUAUGUCUCUAGACAAGAGAGAGAAAUACUGCUAUGUGUUAUAAUAGUUCAUUAAAGCGUUCUUCUGCCCCCUUUCCUAGCAUAUGCUGGGAAUCUUCGUAGCAUGUAGGGUACAUUUUUUCUCAAUUAAUUUUUCUUUUUUGCUUUACUGGCAGUCAGUUUUUCUAAUAACCAUUUUUCUAAGUCAAACACUUUUAAGUCAGAGCGAAAAAUCUGAUUAAAAUCUAAAUUGCCUCAAGGAGCUGUGAUCUUCUGGUCUGCUCCUUGCACUUACAUGAUUUAUGCCCCAAAUUGCUACAUUAGGAUCGUAAGUCCAUUUUCCUUACCUAAGGGUUUUAAAAGGUUUGGAGCUUUGAACCCAAUAAUCCUAAUUUGGGAGCAAUUGCAUGCCCAGUGUCAAGAAUCUCAAGACUAGCAGUAGGUUAUGGAGUGAUUUUCCCAAAUGAUUUAAUCUUGGAGCAAUUCCAAAAGGCAGACACACAAUUUCUUUGUUGUUGGUUGCCCUUCCUCUUCUAACUAGUUAUUUAAAUAAAUUCAAUGC